Molecule: transfer RNA, 66 nt
Filed under: Cheilonereis cyclurus
Lineage: Eukaryota; Metazoa; Annelida; Polychaeta; Phyllodocida; Nereididae
Description: tRNA-Trp
Source: RNAcentral
AAGACCUUAAGUUAAUUAAAACUAAAAGCCUUCAAAGCCUUAAAUGAAAACAAUUUUCAGGUCUUG